Molecule: ribosomal RNA, 515 nt
Filed under: uncultured bacterium
Lineage: Bacteria
Description: bacterial SSU rRNA
Rfam family: Bacterial small subunit ribosomal RNA
Source: RNAcentral
CUACGUGCCAGCAGCCGCGGUAAUACGGAGGGUGCGAGCGUUAAUCGGAAUAACUGGGCGUAAAGGGCACGCAGGCGGUGACUUAAGUGAGGUGUGAAAGCCCCGGGCUUAACCUGGGAAUUGCAUUUCAUACUGGGUCGCUAGAGUACUUUAGGGAGGGGUAGAAUUCCACGUGUAGCGGUGAAAUGCGUAGAGAUGUGGAGGAAUACCGAAGGCGAAGGCAGCCCCUUGGGAAUGUACUGACGCUCAUGUGCGAAAGCGUGGGGAGCAAACAGGAUUAGAUACCCUGGUAGUCCACGCUGUAAACGAUGUCGAUUUGGGGAUUGGGCUUUGAGCUUGGUGCCCGUAGCUAACGUGAUAAAUCGACCGCCUGGGGAGUACGGCCGCAAGGUUAAAACUCAAAUGAAUUGACGGGGGCCCGCACAAGCGGUGGAGCAUGUGGUUUAAUUCGAUGCAACGCGAAGAACCUUACCUACUCUUGACAUCCAUGGAAUCUUGUAGAGAUACGAGAGUGC